RNAcentral lists this ribosomal RNA (172 nucleotides) under uncultured bacterium. Its description in RNAcentral is "partial 16S ribosomal RNA". It matches the Rfam family "Bacterial small subunit ribosomal RNA", at positions 336 to 525 of the family's 1533-position model. The record is from RNAcentral.
CUCCUACGGGAGGCAGCAGUAGGGAAUUUUCCACAAUGGGCGAAAGCCUGAUGGAGCAACGCCGCGUGCAGGAUGAAUGCCUUCGGGUUGUAAACUGCUUUUAUCUGUGACGAUUAUGACGGUAGCAGAUGAAUAAGGAUCGGCUAACUCCGUGCCAGCAGCCGCGGAAUUC